GACGAACGCUGGCGGCGUGCUUAACACAUGCAAGUCGAACGGAAAGGCCCUGCUUUUGUGGGGUGCUCGAGUGGCGAACGGGUGAGUAACACGUGAGCAACCUGCCCUUGACUUUGGGAUAACUUCAGGAAACUGGGGCUAAUACCGGAUAGGAGCUCCUGCUGCAUGGUGGGGGUUGGAAAGUUUCGGCGGUUGGGGAUGGACUCGCGGCUUAUCAGCUUGUUGGUGGGGUAGUGGCUUACCAAGGCUUUGACGGGUAGCCGGCCUGAGAGGGUGACCGGCCACAUUGGGACUGAGAUACGGCCCAGACUCCUACGGGAGGCAGCAGUGGGGAAUAUUGCACAAUGGGCGGAAGCCGGAUGCAGCAACGCCGCGUGCGGGAUGACGGCCUUCGGGUUGUAAACCGCUUUCGCCUGUGACGAAGCGUGAGUGACGGUAAUGGGUAAAGAAGCACCGGCUAACUACGUG
RNAcentral lists this ribosomal RNA (468 nucleotides) under uncultured bacterium. Its description in RNAcentral is "partial 16S ribosomal RNA". It matches the Rfam family "Bacterial small subunit ribosomal RNA", at positions 28 to 507 of the family's 1533-position model. The record is from RNAcentral.